AUACGGAGGGUGCGAGCGUUAAUCGGAAUUACUGGGCGUAAAGCGCGCGUAGGCGGUUCGAUAAGUCUGAUGUGAAAGCCCUGGGCUUAACCUGGGAAUGGCAUUGGAUACUGUUGAACUAGAGUGCGGGAGAGGGGAGUGGAAUUCUCGGUGUAGCGGUGAAAUGCGUAGAUAUCGGGAGGAACACCAGUGGCGAAGGCGGCUCUCUGGACUGACACUGACGCUGAGGUGCGAAAGCGCGGGUAGCAAACAGGAUUAGAAACCCCGGUAGUCC
RNAcentral lists this ribosomal RNA (274 nucleotides) under uncultured bacterium. Its description in RNAcentral is "partial 16S ribosomal RNA". It matches the Rfam family "Bacterial small subunit ribosomal RNA", at positions 523 to 796 of the family's 1533-position model. The record is from RNAcentral.